UACGUAGGGGGCAAGCGUUGUCCGGAUUUAUUGGGCGUAAAGAGCUCGUAGGCGGCUCGGUAAGUCGGAUGUGAAACCUCCAGGCUCAACCUGGAGACGCCAUCUGAUACUGUCGUGGCUUGAGUCCGGUAGAGGAGCAGGGAAUUCCUGGUGUAGCGGUGAAAUGCGCAGAUAUCAGGAGGAACACCAGCGGCGAAGGCGCUGCUCUGGGCCGGUACUGACGCUGAGGAGCGAAAGCGUGGGGAGCGAACAGG
Molecule: ribosomal RNA, 254 nt
Filed under: uncultured bacterium
Lineage: Bacteria
Description: partial 16S ribosomal RNA
Rfam family: Bacterial small subunit ribosomal RNA
Source: RNAcentral